RNAcentral lists this ribosomal RNA (468 nucleotides) under uncultured bacterium. RNAcentral describes it as "partial 16S ribosomal RNA". It matches the Rfam family "Bacterial small subunit ribosomal RNA", at positions 28 to 507 of the family's 1533-position model. The record is from RNAcentral.
GACGAACGCUGGCGGCGUGCUUAACACAUGCAAGUCGAACGGAAAGGCCCUUCUUUUGUGGGGUGCUCGAGUGGCGAACGGGUGAGUAACACGUGAGUAACCUGCCCUUGACUUUGGGAUAACUUCAGGAAACUGGGGCUAAUACCGGAUAGGAGCUCCUGCUGCAUGGUGGGGUUUGGAAAGUUUCGGCGGUUGGGGAUGGACUCGCGGCUUAUCAGCUUGUUGGUGGGGUAGUGGCUUACCAAGGCUUUGACGGGUAGCCGGCCUGAGAGGGUGACCGGCCACAUUGGGACUGAGAUACGGCCCAGACUCCUACGGGAGGCAGCAGUGGGGAAUAUUGCACAAUGGGCGGAAGCCUGAUGCAGCAACGCCGCGUGCGGGAUGACGGCCUUCGGGUUGUAAACCGCUUUCGCCUGUGACGAAGCGUGAGUGACGGUAAUGGGUAAAGAAGCACCGGCUAACUACGUG